Molecule: long non-coding RNA, 6446 nt
Organism: Passer domesticus (house sparrow)
Lineage: Eukaryota; Metazoa; Chordata; Aves; Passeriformes; Passeridae
Exons: 4
Source: RefSeq, a predicted model, not a curated record
CAAUGCGCUCGUGGUUUCUUGUGCAAUGAGAAUGUGUGCCCAGAGAGACAGAGGCGGUGCCAGCUGACGCAGUGCAAGGGAGGUGAGAACGCUGUCAAGGUUUUGCUCCCUGCAAAGGGUGGGUGCACCUUUUCCAAUACAGAUGAAAGAAACAAUGCAAUGCCACAACACAAAUUUGCACCAGGCCAUCAGGAAUCCUCAGCUGUGUGCUUUGCUAUGGACUUCCUUGGGUUAACACCUCUUUCCCACACAGUCACAAGUCGGAGUGAAUCCUCUGCUGUUGAUGGUGUCACAGCCCUGUGCAAUAGUAACAAGAGACAGCCAGACCCACUGUGUGACUCCAGGUCUCAAGUCUUGCUGUUCCUGUACAAGGAUAAAGACCACCACGCUUGUCCACUCAGGCUGAAGGCGCACUUCUGGCACUCCUUGAGGCUUGUUGUAACCCUGAGAAGGUGCUGGGGGAACUAGUGGGGUCCGAGUGGUUUGCACCACCCCAUACAGAAACCAAGGCCUCAGACAGGAAUUAUCUAUAUAAUGCCUUCAACUCCAGUCCAAUAUGUGGGACUUUCUCCUCUCUGUCACCAGAUUUUCACUUUGCUUUUCACUGAAACACAAAUAACUGGAAUUUCAUUUUCCCUCAUAGAAUUUUGUGAUUACAUUAUGUUGUGUAGGAUAAGCACAUAGUAGAUCCAUCUCCCUCUCCCCUGCCACCUAUUCCUUCCAUCAGGCCCAUUCUUUGGCCUUGUCAUCACCCUGUCAUACAAUCUGCUUUUCACAAUUUUGGGAGACUUUGCUCACAGUGAGACUCGAGGCCUUCCUAGCAGCUGCUACACAAGCUCAUCAUUGCUAGUAACUGAGCACAAGACAGUGGAGGCAGGCAGCAUUUUUGCUGAAAGCCAUGUUGGAUCUGCCCAGUAAGAGAGGCCAGGCAGACAAUAACACAAGGUUCUUGUACCACACCAUGCAAGUAGUCUGUUUCCUGCAAAAGUCAACUCAUUCAGAAGAAAACAAAAUAAGUUAGUGUACCUAGCCAGUUGCAAAGCAGACUGGACAGAAAUAUUCCUCUAUUUUCUUUCCUUUCCUGAUAGGGCAGCCAAAGAAACAUUGUUAUACUGAGAAUUCUUCUGCCUCCUUUUACCCCCCACAAAAUUUCAUUUAUCUCACCAUGGUUUCUGGAUAGUAGCAGAAACAAGAAUUUAAUUUAAAUAUGUUUGAAUCUACAGUCAAACUUUCUUAGAAAACAGGAAUGUUUUGGUUUGCAUGUGUUUUGAUUUAACCCAUUAUUUUGCUGCAUUAAUCCCAUUAGAAAUCUGAAUGCAUCUGACACAAAAGUUAAAGCUCUGAAUCUGUUGCUUCAUCUUCAGCAGAAACAAAAUAAAAAUAAGGAUAUGGGAAUUAAAAAGGAAAUUGACAAAACACUUUUCUAAGGGCAACUGCUAAAUUUCACAAAAACGUGCUACCUGCAGAUUUGGAAUAUCACCUGUCACUUGAGAUACUACAGGUCCUAAUUAUCAGAGUGCUAAUUUUCAGGGUGCAAAGCUGGGACUUAACAACUUCAUUCCAAACACGGGCAAGCACACUGGGAUUUUGCCUUAUAAUUUUUAUCAUCCAAAGAGAGAGAAAUACUCCUUUUUCCUGAAAUUAACUCUUUGCCUCUGGUAAGGAAGGCCAAAGAAGCAAGUUGGCUGUUGAGGAUUCAGAGGCUGCACAGACUGAAAGGAAAAACCAUGAAGCACUAUCUUUUCCUCCAAAUGGGUGCAGGAUGCAGGGCUCUGACCCUGCUAAGACCCUCAGUCUGGCAAGUAACUAUUGCAAGUUCCAGCUGUACCAAAGCUCUCUCCCUCUAUGCUGGAAUCCCUUUGCAGACUACAGUGAUCGGCACAAACCAAUUUUUUUCCUCUCUGUCUGGGAUCUGGCAAUGGCCCCCUGCAACUUAACUGCUCUCCCCACCAGCCUUUUCUCCAGGCUGUGUGUUGACCUGGCAAAUGCUUCUAGCUGUAAGGAGAUGAAAAGAAGCAUACUGCUGGAAGCAUUCCCACUAGAGAGGUGCUAGGAAGAUGACUGCAAGAUCACAAGGCCCUAAAGCAAGUUAAGUCACUCCGGCCAAUAAUGUUAUCAUACCUAAGGAAAUGACAAUGUGGCCAUUGUGCAAUGGAUCAGGUAGAGAUAAGAUACUAUGAAUUUCCUAAGAAAUCCAUGCUAAAACUAGAGCAAUAUGAGGCCUGGAAAGCAGUAAAUCUUAUGUAAAGUUGGAAAGGAUACCAUGAUUGUGGAAGAUAUUUCAAUGUCACAUUGCUUUGCAUUUUUAAGCAGCACAUGGUGAACAAUACAUUUCAGGCCUACUCUUGCAAAGUCAUAAAGGAUAGAUAGGCCCAGUAAUAAAACUUUUAACAGUGUACCUGAAGGAAUGGCUGUAAAACCAGUGGUCAGGACAGCAAGAAAGUUCAACCAAUCUCAGCUUCAACCUCUGGCAACUAUUUCAAAGGGUUUCAUGGAGGUGAGUGCCCACAAGCCAAUGAAAUUAGACCGUUCAUGAAAUAUUUACUGCACUUGACUGGGAAGAAUUGCCAGCUUUUGAAAAACACAUCCACCGCCUCUCUCCUAUCUUAUAAACAACUCCAGUGCUACCAGCUUCAGCACUCUGUGCUGCAAGCACUUCCAGAGUCAUCAAUCAGGUUAAAACCCUUUCCCCUAUGCACACACUGGGCUUGAAACCAUUAUGGGCUGGCUGUGCUCCCACAGCCAGCUGGAGACAGAGGUGCUUCAAAUGCAUUCAACGGGAAAGGAAAUAAAACCCCCACCUUUGCUGGCUUUUAAUUAAAAAAAUGUCAAGCCUCAUUGGUUCUCAGGAAAACAUAGAGUUGGCUCAUGUUUAAAGUGAUAGUAUGGAAAUAAAAUCAGUAUUUUAACAAAUUUCAUUCCCUGUGUUAGUAAGACCUUUAACAAAAAGGCUGUUCACCAUAAAAAUAAGACUUUUUGGUCAUGGAAGGCAGGCACUUUGGUCUCAAAAGAAGACUAUUAAAGAAGCUAUGAAUUGGCUUCUCUUUGGGAUUUAUACCUAUCUUUUCAGAGACCUGCAUUUCAUUGAAAUCAAUUCUAGGCCAUUCCAAGGAUAGUGAGCUCUGUUAGGCUGGAUAAGAAGUAACAGAUAGCAAAGCAAUAGCACCAGAUGGCAGAAGCAAGCAAGUGAGGAAGUGAAUGCCACUUACCCACAUGGCAGAUCAUUUGCUGUGAACUACCACCCCUAUUGUGAUAGAAAAGGAUAGAAUCUUGUGAGUGGAAAAUGAACUGGAAUGGAGACAAGAUUUCUUGGUUCGUGUGUAAACGGUGAUUAUAAUAAUUUUUCUGUAGUGUCCCAGAGAGUAGAAAUUAAAUAUGUGACAAGUCCCAGGCCUCUCUUGUCCUUGGUGAACUUAUAUACAUGUUUCAAAUACCCCUGCCUAACUAUCAUUCUCAUUAUCAGAAUGAGCUGAGAAUCCAAAAAUUGAAUGAACAUCCUUCAGGUCCCCAGAUGAUGAAGAAGGACUUAAAGGUUGGGGUUUUUUGUUCAACCUAAAGGUUCCCAGCUCAUCAUCGCCAUGAGUCUACAGCUUGCUGCUUUCCACUCUGGGUCCUUCAAGAUGCCCAGAUGUGUACUGUGAAACUGGGGACACAUCCUCAUUUCCUGUGUCCUAAUACUGCCUUACAGUGACUAACAGUUCUUAAAGGUUAGAAAAAAGGAAUUUCAAAAGAAAAUGGACUCAACCUUGUGCUGGAGCUUGCCUAGAAUAUGACUGUUUGGGGUAAUUUUUAUGUGAAAAUAAAACUCCUUCCCUUUUUUUCUCCUAAUCAAUUUUCUCCUAUUCCCAUUUAUCCAUCAAUAAUGUGCAAUUCAUGGCCAAAAAUGGAGGCCAUAGAAUCUUUCUAGAAAAGAAGAAUUGGUUUCAAUCACUUGUAGAACAACCAUUUUCUUCAUAACUCAAAACAAACUUUUGGAAGAAGUUUUCUAUCAAAACCAUUCAGAAACAAGUCCCUUAUAUUAGCCUUCUUGGCUCAAAUGUUAUGGUAAAUUAUAAUUAGAUGAAAACAGGAUUUUAUAGUGGAAGGUCUAAGACAACUGCAACAAUCAUGGGAUGAAUAUCUCUGCCUGUCCAUCAACAAUAAGGUGACAGCAAUUCCAAAUGUCUACAAGACCAAACACAUUCAAAAAUGAGCUUAAAGUCCUUAACAGAUCACUCAGGAUACAUUGAUACACCAUGCUUCCUGCUUCCCAGAUAACAGGGGCAAUUCCAUGCCUAUAUCUGCACUAAUCUUAACCCAUGUACUUCCUUUGGAAGUCAUUGCCUGGGCUUUUGUGUGUCUGCAACUUUGUUGUAGAUGCUUUCUGGUAUUGCAGGUAUAGUGGUGCAUGCUUCUGUGCUCAAAAACACAGCCAUCCAUGAACUCAUUAUUAUCACCCUCCUUUGCCAGAGAUUACUCAAGAGAUACACAGAGAAACAGAAAACAUAGUGAAAACAAACCAGGAUUGCUUCAUCAAAGUUUUUUAUUCUGUUUUAUUCUUAUCCUGAAAAUUACUGCCACAUAAAAAUAAAAGGGUCAAAGAAUGCUGGGAUCUAACUACAAAACACAUGUGAGAGAUGAGCAGCAGCACAAGCUUCCCUACUGUCUGACACAGCAUGGUCACUCAGGCAGAGGAAGACUAAUGACAGGAAUAAUGUGUUGCCUCUGACCAUUCAUUCUCUGCUGAUAUUAGUGACAAAGGUCUCAGGUAGUUUUCCCUGGUUAACAUCAUGUUGGACCACUGACCCUUUUCAGAAAGACCAAAGAUGAGAAGAAGGAGUAUAGGUCUAGGUCCCAUCCCAGAUAUGUAUGCUGCUCUGCAGUCCUGUAUAUCAACAUGGAGUAAGGAUCCCUUAUGGAGGGAAUCAAAGUGAUCAAUUGCUGUCUGCUGGGAGGGAAAAGAAACAGACUGCAGCAAUGAGAAUUCUAUCCCCUGCUCUUUCUUCUGAAAGGCAAAUGCAUUCAAACUGUUAGUUUACUGUUAGUGACUCUUAGAGACAAAGUAGCCCAAUCUUACAGAGCAAAAUAUCUGACAUGAGUCUGGAGACUUACACUGUCCUACUGAAACUGAACUUUUCAUGAUGCUAAAGAACCUAUUCAAAAAUUAACAUAGGACUCUCUUUUCAGUUGUUUUAAGAAUACAUGUUAGUACAUUUUUAUGGAAGGUCCUGGCUGCAUGAAGAAUUGCAUUUGUAAGUUAGCUGUGAAACACAGGCCACCAAAUUCAGAAACUGUCCUGGAAACAGCACCAGCCAGUACUGUCUUAUGUAACAGGAAAGCUUAGAGGAACUGAUGAACGAUUAUCUAAAGAUGCCAUUCCAUGGCACCUUCAACCAGUCUCAGCUGAGUGGCCUAAAAAAUCCCCCUGGAUUGUUCUUCAGCCAGUUUAAGCCAGUUUGUGCAACUAUUCAGGUCAGAAAAGCACCAGAGCAAGAGAAGGAGAGGGAGCCGGGAGCUGAAUGAGUAGGAGCACAGCAGACGGAGCAGUUUAAACUGCUAUGGAGCUAAACCAGGGAAGUCUGAUCCACUUUUCAGUCACUGCUGAAUGUAGCACAUGAGCUCCUACAUGUUCACUUCUUAAUGCUAAAGCACUUUUUCAGAUAUUUAUAAAAGACCUUCCCUGAUUAUCACAGAGGUAACUGGAUCCUACAGCACUUCCACUGAAGGCAGUGGAAAGAAAACAGGCUGCUUUCAGUCAACAAUGGCAAACCAAGCAAGGAGUGAAACUGAAAAGCAGCUGUGCAAAGACAUUCUACAAUUAGAAUUACAGACAGUAAAGAAACCCUGAAGAGAAAUGGCAAGUGAAGCCCCUUUGGAUUUUGAACUGAAACCUGCUCUCUUGAAUAUUCGGCACUGCUAAAUGGGAAAUGGCAACGAUUCACUGUAGACAAAUCUCCUGAUGUCUGACAGCUUGAAUGCAGUGGGUAGAAGUGACACAGUAAUGGAUAGAAGUCGAUGCUCCUUGACUCGUAAAUUAAAUCAGCUGUGAAGUCUUUAGUAAAGGGCAAAGUGUGAACAAGCUGGCUGAAGGGACCCUAGCCUGUGUGGAAGUUAGCUGAUGGGGAGACGCUCCCUCUGCGUACAGCAGUCCUAGUCUGAGAGACUGCUGCCCUCCAGCUGCCUCUGCCUGCCACCCCGCUCAGGGCUGCUGUCUCCCCAGCAGAGCCACCGGUGUGAGCGCUUCCAGGCAGGCUCCGCCACAUCAGUGUAAAUGAGUGGUUUGAGCUGGUACACCUUUACCCUACACCGCAAAACAUUCUGGGGAGCGUACACGCAAACCCUGUCCGUGGCUGAGCAGUUGGCAGUGGCCAACAGAGGACUGUGGUAAGUAACUGAUCUCAGCAACGCCUUCCAGCUGCGUCCGGAGGAAGGGGUUGUCCAUGGGUUUUGACUUCACUCUUGUUUAC